UACCGCAUACGCCCUACGGGGGAAAGCGGGGGACCUUCGGGCCUCGUGCUAUUAGAUGAGCCUGCGUUGGAUUAGCUAGUUGGUGGGGUAAAGGCCUACCAAGGCGACGAUCCAUAGCUGGUCUGAGAGGAUGAUCAGCCACACCGGGACUGAGACACGGCCCGGACUCCUACGGGAGGCAGCAGUGGGGAAUAUUGCGCAAUGGGCGAAAGCCUGACGCAGCCAUGCCGCGUGUGUGAAGAAGGCCUUCGGGUUGUAAAGCACUUUCAAUUGGGAGGAAAGGUUCACGGUUAAUAACCGUGAGCUGUGACGUUACCUUUAGAAGAAGCACCGGCUAACUCCGUGCCAGCAGCCGCGGUAAUACGGAGGGUGCGAGCGUUAAUCGGAAUUACUGGGCGUAAAGCGCGCGUAGGUGGUCUGUUAAGUCGGAUGUGAAAGCCCCGGGCUCAACCUGGGAACUGCAUCCGAUACUGGCAAACUAGAGUGCGGGAGAGGGAGGUAGAAUUCCAUGUGUAGCGGUGAAAUGCGUAGAUAUGUGGAGGAAUACCAGUGGCGAAGGCGGCCUCCUGGCUCGACACUGACACUGAGGCGCGAAAGCGUGGGGAGCAAACAGGAUUAGAUACCCUGGUAGUCCACGCCGUAAACGAUGUCUACUAGCUGUAGGGGUACUUGAGACCUUUGUAGCGCAGCUAACGCAAUAAGUAGACCGCCUGGGGAGUACGGCCGCAAGGUUAAAACUCAAAUGAAUUGACGGGGGCCCGCACAAGCAGUGGAGCAUGUGGUUUAGUUCGAUGCAACGCGAAGAACCUUACCAGGCCUUGACAUCCUCGGAACUUUCUAGAGAUAGAUUGGUGCCUUCGGGAA
Molecule: ribosomal RNA, 864 nt
Filed under: uncultured marine bacterium
Lineage: Bacteria
Description: bacterial SSU rRNA
Rfam family: Bacterial small subunit ribosomal RNA
Source: RNAcentral